UAAUUCGAGUCAACAGGGUCGUU
This 23-nucleotide microRNA is filed under the name Echinococcus granulosus. RNAcentral describes it as "egr-miR-10293-3p". Lineage: Eukaryota; Metazoa; Platyhelminthes; Cestoda; Cyclophyllidea; Taeniidae. RNAcentral also lists the same sequence under 1 other name. The record is from miRBase by way of RNAcentral.